GAGCUUGCUCUGUGGAUCAGUGGCGAACGGGUGAGUAACAGAGAGCAAUCUGCCCCUGACUCUGGGAUAAGCGCUGGAAACGGCGUCUAAUACCGGAUACGAGCUGCGACCGCAUGGUCAGUAGCUGGAAAGAAUUUCGGUCAGGGAUGAGCUCGCGGCCUAUCAGCUUGUUGGUGAGGUAAUGGCUCACCAAGGCGUCGACGGGUAGCCGGCCUGAGAGGGUGACCGGCCACACUGGGACUGAGACACGGCCCAGACUCCUACGGGAGGCAGCAGUGGGGAAUAUUGCACAAUGGGCGAAAGCCUGAUGCAGCAACGCCGCGUGAGGGAUGACGGCCUUCGGGUUGUAAACCUCUUUUAGCAGGGAAGAAGCGAAAGUGACGGUACCUGCAGAAAAAGCGCCGGCUAACUACGUGCCAGCAGCCGCGGUAAUACGUAGGGCGCAAGCGUUAUCCGGAAUUAUUGGGCGUAAAGAGCUCGUAGGCGGUCUGUCGCGUCUGCUGUGAAAACCCGAGGCUCACCUCGGGCCUGCAAUUGGGUACGGGCAGACUAGAGUGCGGUAGGGGAGAUUGGAAUUCCUGGUGUAGCGGUGGAAUGCGCAGAUAUCAGGAGGAACACCGAUGGCGAAGGCAGAUCUCUGGGCCGUAACUGACGCUGAGGAGCGAAAGGGUGGGGAGCAAACAGGCUUAGAUACCCUGGUAGUCCACCCCGUAAACGUUGGGAACUAGUUGUGGGGUCCAUUCCACGGAUUCCGUGACGCAGCUAACGCAUUAAGUUCCCCGCCUGGGGAGUACGGCCGCAAGGCUAAAACUCAAAGGAAUUGACGGGGACCCGCACAAGCGGCGGAGCAUGCGGAUUAAUUCGAUGCAACGCGAAGAACCUUACCAAGGCUUGACAUAUAGAGGAAACGUCUGGAAACAGUCGCCCCGCAAGGUCUCUAUACAGGUGGUGCAUGGUUGUCGUCAGCUCGUGUCGUGAGAUGUUGGGUUAAGUCCCGCAACGAGCGCAACCCUCGUUCUAUGUUGCCAGCACGUAAUGGUGGGAACUCAUGGGAUACUGCCGGGGUCAACUCGGAGGAAGGUGGGGAUGACGUCAAAUCAUCAUGCCCCUUAUGUCUUGGGCUUCACGCAUGCUACAAUGGCCGGUACAAAGGGCUGCAAUACCGUGAGGUGGAGCGAAUCCCAAAAAGCCGGUCCCAGUUCGGAUUGAGGUCUGCAACUCGACCUCAUGAAGUCGGAGUCGCUAGUAAUCGCAGAUCAGCAACGCUGCGGUGAAUACGUUCCCGGGUCUUGUACACACCGCCCGUCAAGUCAUGAAAUUAAUCACACCUAAAGCCUGGUGGCCCAACCCUUGUGGAGG
This 1359-nucleotide ribosomal RNA is filed under the name Microbacterium arborescens. RNAcentral describes it as "16S ribosomal RNA". It matches the Rfam family "Bacterial small subunit ribosomal RNA", at positions 76 to 1449 of the family's 1533-position model. Lineage: Bacteria; Bacillati; Actinomycetota; Actinomycetes; Micrococcales; Microbacteriaceae. The record is from RNAcentral.